This 465-nucleotide ribosomal RNA is filed under the name uncultured bacterium. RNAcentral's name for it is "bacterial SSU rRNA". It matches the Rfam family "Bacterial small subunit ribosomal RNA", at positions 329 to 794 of the family's 1533-position model. The record is from RNAcentral.
UGCCAGACUCCUACGGGAGGCAGCAGUGGGGAAUAUUGCACAAUGGGGGGAACCCUGAUGCAGCGACGCCGCGUGGGUGAAGGAGCACCUCGGUGCGUAAAGCCCUAUCGGCAGGGAAGAAAAGCGAACAGGUUCGCCUGGACGGUACCUGACUAAGAAGCCCCGGCUAACUACGGGCCAGCAGCCGCGGGAAUACGUAGGGGGCAAGCGUUGUUCGGAAUGACUGGGCGUAAAGGGUGUGUAGGCGGUGUAGCAAGUUAGAAGUGAAAUACCUAGAGCUUAACUCAGGUGCUGCUUCUAAAACUGCUAUACUUGAGUGCAGUAGAGGAAAGUGGAAUUCCUAGUGUAGCGGUGGAAUGCGUAGAUAUUAGGAGGAACAUCAGUGGCGAAGGCGACUUUCUGGACUGUAACUGACGCUGAGGCACGAAAGUGUGGGGAGCAAACAGGAUUAGAUACCCCCGUACA